GACGAACGCUGGCGGCGUGCCUAAUACAUGCAAGUCGAGCGGGCCGAACGAGAGCUUGCUCUUGUUCGGUCAGCGGCGGACGGGUGAGUAACACGUGGGCAACCUGCCCGCAAGACCGGGAUAACUCCGGGAAACCGGAGCUAAUACCGGAUAACACCAAAGACCGCAUGGUCUUUGGUUGAAAGGCGGCUUCGGCUGUCACUUGCGGAUGGGCCCGCGGCGCAUUAGCUAGUUGGUGAGGUAACGGCUCACCAAGGCGACGAUGCGUAGCCGGCCUGAGAGGGUGACCGGCCACACUGGGACUGAGACACGGCCCAGACUCCUACGGGAGGCAGCAGUAGGGAAUCUUCCGCAAUGGACGAAAGUCUGACGGAGCGACGCCGCGUGAGCGAAGAAGGCCUUCGGGUCGUAAAGCUCUGUUGUGAGGGACGAAGGAGCGCCGUUUGAAUAAGGCGGCGCGGUGACGGUACCUCACGAGAAAGCCCCGGCUAACUAC
This 496-nucleotide ribosomal RNA is filed under the name uncultured Bacillota bacterium. RNAcentral describes it as "bacterial SSU rRNA". It matches the Rfam family "Bacterial small subunit ribosomal RNA", at positions 28 to 504 of the family's 1533-position model. Lineage: Bacteria; Bacillati; Bacillota. The record is from RNAcentral.